AUCUUCCGCAAUGGACGAAAGUCUGACGGAGCAACGCCGCGUGAGUGAUGAAGGUUUUCGGAUCGUAAAACUCUGUUGUUAGGGAAGAACAAGUACAAGAGUAACUGCUUGUACCUUGACGGUACCUAACCAGAAAGCCACGGCUAACUACGUGCCAGCAGCCGCGGUAAUACGUAGGUGGCAAGCGUUGUCCGGAAUUAUUGGGCGUAAAGCGCGCGCAGGCGGUCCUUUAAGUCUGAUGUGAAAGCCCACGGCUCAACCGUGGAGGGUCAUUGGAAACUGGGGGACUUGAGUGCAGAAGAGGAGAGUGGAAUUCCACGUGUAGCGGUGAAAUGCGUAGAGAUGUGGAGGAACACCAGUGGCGAAGGCGACUCUUUGGUCUGUAACUGACGCUGAGGCGCGAAAGCGUGGGGAGCAAACAG
This 422-nucleotide ribosomal RNA is filed under the name uncultured bacterium. RNAcentral describes it as "bacterial SSU rRNA". It matches the Rfam family "Bacterial small subunit ribosomal RNA", at positions 361 to 775 of the family's 1533-position model. The record is from RNAcentral.